RNAcentral lists this ribosomal RNA (348 nucleotides) under uncultured bacterium. RNAcentral describes it as "bacterial SSU rRNA". It matches the Rfam family "Bacterial small subunit ribosomal RNA", at positions 8 to 352 of the family's 1533-position model. The record is from RNAcentral.
AGAGUUUGAUCAUGGCUCAGAUUGAACGCUGGCGGCAUGCCUAACACAUGCAAGUCGAACGGCAGCACAGCAGUAGCAAUACUGUGGGUGGCGAGUGGCGGACGGGUGAGGAAUACAUCGGGACCUGCCCAGACGUGGGGGAUAACGUAGGGAAACUUACGCUAAUACCGCAUACGUCCUACGGGAGAAAGCGGGGGAUCUUCGGACCUCGCGCGGUUGGAUGGACCGAUGUUCGAUUAGCUAGUUGGUGAGGUAAUGGCUCACCAAGGCGACGAUCGAUAGCUGGUCUGAGAGGAUGAUCAGCCACACUGGGACUGAGACACGGCCCAGACUCCUACGGGAGGCAGC